UUCGCCCUUAGAGUUUGAUCCUGGCUCAGGACGAACGCUGGCGGCGUGCCUAACACAUGCAAGUCGAGCGGAGACAGUGAGUAGCUUGCUAUGAGCUGUUUUAGCGGCGGACGGGUGAGUAACGCGUGAGCAACCUUUCCCAGACAGGGGAAUAACACACCGAAAGGUGUACUAAUACCGCAUAAGACCACGGGAUCACAUGGUUCUGGGGUAAAAGAAUUAUCGGUUUGGGGUGGGCUCGCGUCCGAUUAGCUAGUUGGUGAGGUAACGGCCCACCAAGGCGACGAUCGGUAGCCGGACUGAGAGGUUGAACGGCCACAUUGGGACUGAGACACGGCCCAGACUCCUACGGGAGGCAGCAGUGGGGAAUAUUGCACAAUGGGGGAAACCCUGAUGCAGCGACGCCGCGUGGAGGAAGAAGGUCUUCGGAUUGUAAACUCCUGUUGUUGAGGAAGAUAAUGACGGUACUCAACAAGGAAGUGACGGCUAACUACGUGCCAGCAGCCGCGGUAAAACGUAGGGUGCAAGCGUUGUCCGGAAUUACUGGGUGUAAAGGGAGCGCAGGCGGGAAGACAAGUUGGAAGUGAAAACCAUGGGCUCAACCCAUGAAUUGCUUUCAAAACUGUUUUUCUUGAGUAGUGCAGAGGUAGAUGGAAUUCCCGGUGUAGCGGUGGAAUGCGUAGAUAUCGGGAGGAACACCAGUGGCGAAGGCGGUCUACUGGGCACCAACUGACGCUGAGGCUCGAAAGCAUGGGUAGCAAACAGGAUUAGAUACCCUGGUAGUCCAUGCCGUAAACGAUGAUUACUAGGUGUUGGGGGAUUGACCCCCUCAGUGCCGCAGUUAACACAAUAAGUAAUCCACCUGGGGAGUACGACCGCAAGGUUGAAACUCAAAGGAAUUGACGGGGGCCCGCACAAGCAGUGGAGUAUGUGGUUUAAUUCGAAGCAACGCAAAGAACCUUACCAGGUCUUGACAUCCGAUGCAUAACACAGAGAUGUGUGAAAUCCUUCGGGACAUCGAGACAGGUGGUGCAUGGUUGUCGUCAGCUCGUGUCGUGAGAUGUUGGGUUAAGUCCCGCAACGAGCGCAACCCUUAUUGCCAGUUACUACGUUAAGAGGACUCUGGCGAGACUGCCGUUGACAAAACGGAGGAAGGUGGGGAUGACGUCAAAUCAUCAUGCCCUUUAUGACCUGGGCUACACACGUACUACAAUGGCGUUAAACAAAGAGAAGCAAGACCGCGAGGUGGAGCAAAACUCAAAAACAACGUCUCAGUUCAGAUUGCAGGCUGCAACUCGCCUGCAUGAAGUCGGAAUUGCUAGUAAUCGCGGAUCAGCAUGCCGCGGUGAGUACGUUCCCGGGCCUUGCACACACCGCCCGUCA
Molecule: ribosomal RNA, 1383 nt
Filed under: uncultured bacterium
Lineage: Bacteria
Description: 16S ribosomal RNA
Rfam family: Bacterial small subunit ribosomal RNA
Source: RNAcentral